GAGGUUCCGGUUCACGCCCGCCAUUGGGGCGCGGCGACCCGGGUCC
Regulatory RNA element from Bifidobacterium subtile, 46 nucleotides. It matches the Rfam family "L31-Actinobacteria ribosomal protein leader". The record is from Rfam. Lineage: Bacteria; Bacillati; Actinomycetota; Actinomycetes; Bifidobacteriales; Bifidobacteriaceae.